This 645-nucleotide ribosomal RNA is filed under the name uncultured Neisseria sp. RNAcentral describes it as "bacterial SSU rRNA". It matches the Rfam family "Bacterial small subunit ribosomal RNA", at positions 67 to 701 of the family's 1533-position model. The record is from RNAcentral. Lineage: Bacteria; Pseudomonadati; Pseudomonadota; Betaproteobacteria; Neisseriales; Neisseriaceae.
CGGCAGCACAGAGAAGCUUGCUUCUUGGGUGGCGAGUGGCGAACGGGUGAGUAACAUAUCGGAACGUACCGAGCAGUGGGGGAUAACUAAUCGAAAGAUUAGCUAAUACCGCAUAUUUUCUGAGGAAGAAAGCAGGGGACCAUUUGGCCUUGCGCUGUUUGAGCGGCCGAUAUCUGAUUAGCUAGUUGGUGGGGUAAAGGCCUACCAAGGCGACGAUCAGUAGCGGGUCUGAGAGGAUGAUCCGCCACACUGGGACUGAGACACGGCCCAGACUCCUACGGGAGGCAGCAGUGGGGAAUUUUGGACAAUGGGCGCAAGCCUGAUCCAGCCAUGCCGCGUGUCUGAAGAAGGCCUUCGGGUUGUAAAGGACUUUUGCCAGGGAAGAAAAGGGCGGGUUAAUACCCCUGUCUGAUGACGGUACCUGAAGAAUAAGCACCGGCUAACUACGUGCCAGCAGCCGCGGUAAUACGUUGGGUGCGAGCGUUAAUCGGAAUUACUGGGCGUAAAGCGGGCGCAGACGGUUACUUAAGCAGGAUGUGAAAUCCCCGGGCUCAACCUGGGAACUGCGUUCCUGAACUGGGUGACUAGAGUGUGUCAGAGGGAGGUAGAAUUCCACGUGUAGCAGUGAAAUGCGUAGAGAGGUGG